RNAcentral lists this microRNA precursor (105 nucleotides) under Myotis brandtii (Brandt's bat). RNAcentral describes it as "mir-9193 microRNA precursor family". It matches the Rfam family "mir-9193 microRNA precursor family". Lineage: Eukaryota; Metazoa; Chordata; Mammalia; Chiroptera; Vespertilionidae. The record is from Rfam by way of RNAcentral.
CAUGCACCGGUGGGGUCCCUUGGCCUGGCCUGUGCCUCUCGGAUGUUGGAGAAUUGGUUUUGGCCUGAUCCCACAGGCCAGGCCGAGGGACCCCACUGGUGCACG